AGUGAACGCUGGCGGUAGGCCUAACACAUGCAAGUCGAACGGCAGCACAGUAAGAGCUUGCUCUUACGGGUGGCGAGUGGCGGACGGGUGAGGAAUACAUCGGAAUCUACUUUUUCGUGGGGGAUAACGUAGGGAAACUUACGCUAAUACCGCAUACGACCUACGGGUGAAAGCAGGGGAUCUUCGGACCUUGCGCGAUUGAAUGAGCCGAUGUCGGAUUAGCUAGUUGGCGGGGUAAAGGCCCACCAAGGCGACGAUCCGUAGCUGGUCUGAGAGGAUGAUCAGCCACACUGGAGCUGAGACACGGUCCAGGCUCCUACGGGAGGCAGCAGUGGGGAAUAUUGGACAAUGGGCGCAAGCCUGAUCCAGCCAUAGCGCGUGGGUGAAGAAGGCCUUCGGGUUGUAAAGCCCUUUUGUUGGGAAAGAAAAGCAGCAGGUUAAUACCCCGCUGUUCUGACGGUACCCAAAGAAUAAGCACCGGCUAACUUCGUG
RNAcentral lists this ribosomal RNA (492 nucleotides) under uncultured bacterium. RNAcentral describes it as "partial 16S ribosomal RNA". It matches the Rfam family "Bacterial small subunit ribosomal RNA", at positions 29 to 507 of the family's 1533-position model. The record is from RNAcentral.